AAACUGCGAUAAGUAGUGUGAAUUGCAUUUAGUGAAUCAUCGAAUCUUUGAACGCACAUUGCGCCCCUUGGUAUUCCAUGGGGCAUGCCUGUUCGAGCGUCAUUUGUACCUUCAAGCUUUGCUUGGUGUUGGGUGUUUGUCUCGCCUCUGCGUGUAGACUCGCCUCAAAACAAUUGGCAGCCGGCGUAUUGAUUUCGGAGCGCAGUACAUCUCGCGCUUUGCACUCAUAACGACGACGUCCAAAAGUACAUUUUUACACUCUUGACCUCGGAUCAGGUAGGGAUACCCGCUGAACUUAAGC
Molecule: unclassified non-coding RNA, 301 nt
Filed under: plant metagenome
Description: partial contains 5.8S ribosomal RNA, internal transcribed spacer 2, and large subunit ribosomal RNA
Rfam family: 5.8S ribosomal RNA (bases 1-102)
Source: RNAcentral